RNAcentral lists this ribosomal RNA (177 nucleotides) under Listeria monocytogenes. RNAcentral describes it as "partial 16S ribosomal RNA". It matches the Rfam family "Bacterial small subunit ribosomal RNA", at positions 1 to 172 of the family's 1533-position model. The record is from RNAcentral. Lineage: Bacteria; Bacillati; Bacillota; Bacilli; Caryophanales; Listeriaceae.
UUUAAAGAGAGUUUGAUCCUGGCUCAGGACGAACGCUGGCGGCGUGCCUAAUACAUGCAAGUCGAACGAACGGAGGAAGAGCUUGCUCUUCCAAUGUUAGUGGCGGACGGGUGAGUAACACGUGGGCAACCUGCCUGUAAGUUGGGGAUAACUCCGGGAAACCGGGGCUAAUACCGA